GCACUGCUUGGGAGGCGCGGGUACGCGGGCAGGCGCAGGACCCCGGCUCUGCCUCUCCCCAGCACCGCCGCCCCAGCUCCGCGGCGCCCUCUCGGGCUGCCCCCCUCCUGGAGAGGGCUGCGCUGGCGGGAAGGCGGCCAGACCACAGCCUUGGUCCCCCUGCUGUCUGUCGGUUCCUCUUUCCUCCCAAGUAAGGGAAUAAGCCCCGAGGAAGGAGCGCCCCGGGGAACCGCGCAACCAAGUGUUGCAUGGUGAGGAGGAGCCAGGAUUUCUGACGACCUUGACUACGGAUGGAAGCAUGCUGUUGCAGCAAUAGCACAUGCCUGCUCACAUCUGCUGAAAGGUGCCCACCACUGCCAUAGACCCGGGGAUCCUCAGAGUCUCCCGAAGGGCCGGUCCAUCGCCUACCUGCAAUGAGCCAGGCCCUGGGCUGGGCCUCAGCUUCACCCUGGUGAACAGAACUCCAUCCCUGGCCUCAAGCCCUCACAGCCAGCUUAAAGAUGAGUGAAGAACGGUGGGUCUCCCUCACCCCAGAGGAAUUUGACCAACUCCAGAAAUACUCAGAAUAUUCUUCCAAGAAGAUAAAGGAUGUCUUGGCUGAGUUUAAUGAGGGUGGGAGCCUCAAACAAUAUGACCCACAUGAGCCAAUUAGCUACGAUGUCUUCAAGCUGUUCAUGAGGGCGUACCUGGAGGUGGACCUUCCUCAGCCACUGAGCACACACCUCUUCCUGGCCUUCAGCCAGAAGCCCAGGCGGGAGACCCCUGACCACCCAAUGGACAGGGCCAGCAAUGAGGCCGGUGGCCCAGAUACCAACAUACAGAAUGUGGAUAAUGCUGCCAAAGCAGAUGAGGCCUGUGCCCCUGAUACAGAAUCAAAGAUCACCGAGAAGCAAGUGCCAGCUAAAGAACAGGUUGCUGCAGCCCCCCUGGGAAACGCUGUUGCUCCAACUCCAGGCUCAGAAUCCCCCAUAGUGUACCUGAAGGAUGUCGUGUGUUACCUGUCCCUGCUGGAGAUGGGGAGACCUCAGGAUAAGCUGGAAUUCAUGUUUCGUCUCUAUGAUUCGGAUGAGAACGGUCUCCUGGAUCAAGCGGAGAUGGACCGUAUUGUCAACCAGAUGCUUCACAUUGCCCAGUAUCUGGAGUGGGAUCCCACGGAGCUGAGGCCUAUACUGAAGGAGAUGUUGCAGGGGAUGGACUAUGACCGGGACGGCUUUGUGUCUCUAGAGGAAUGGGUCCAUGGAGGGAUGACCACCAUCCCACUGCUGGUCCUGCUGGGCAUGGACGACUCUGGCCCCAAGGGGGACGGGAGGCAUGCCUGGACCAUGAAGCACUUCAAGAAGCCCGCCUACUGCAACUUCUGCCACGUCAUGCUGAUGGGCGUUCGGAAGCAGGGACUGUGCUGUGUUUACUGCAAGUACACUGUCCAUGAACGCUGUGUAUCUAAAAACAUUCCUGGAUGUGUCAAAACGUACUCAAAAACCAAAAAGGGCGGUGAGGUGAUGCAGCACGCGUGGGUGGAAGGGAACUCUUCCGUCAAGUGUGACCGGUGCCACAAAAGUAUCAAGUGCUACCAGAGCGUCACCGCGCGGCACUGCGUCUGGUGCCGGAUGACGUUUCACCGAAAAUGUGAAUUAUCAACAUUGUGUGAUGGUGGGGAACUCAGAGACCAUAUUUUGCUGCCCACUUCAAUAUGCCCUGUGACCCGGGACAGGCAAGGUGGGAAGUCUGAUGGCAGUGUGUCAGCCAAGGGUGAACUUGUAAUGCAGUAUAAGAUCAUCCCUACCCCGGGUACCCACCCCCUGCUGGUCUUGGUGAACCCCAAGAGUGGAGGGAGACAAGGAGAAAGAAUUCUUCGGAAAUUCCACUAUCUGCUCAACCCCAAACAAGUUUUCAACCUGGACAAUGGGGGGCCUACUCCAGGACUGAACUUUUUCCGUGAUACUCCAGACUUCCGUGUUCUAGCCUGCGGAGGAGAUGGGACAGUUGGCUGGAUUUUGGAUUGCAUUGAUAAGGCCAACUUUGCAAAGCAUCCACCGGUGGCUGUCCUGCCUCUUGGAACAGGAAAUGACCUGGCCCGCUGUCUCCGCUGGGGAGGAGGUUAUGAAGGGGGCAGCUUGACAAAAAUCCUGAAGGACAUCGAGCAGAGCCCCUUGGUGAUGCUAGACCGCUGGCAUCUGGAAGUCAUCCCCAGAGAGGAGGUGGAGAAUGGGGACCAGGUCCCGUACAACAUCAUGAACAACUAUUUCUCCAUCGGUGUGGAUGCUUCCAUCGCACACAGAUUCCACGUGAUGAGAGAGAAACACCCUGAAAAAUUCAACAGCAGGAUGAAGAACAAGCUGUGGUACUUUGAAUUUGGCACCUCAGAGACCUUUGCAGCCACGUGCAAGAAGCUCCACGACCACAUAGAGUUGGAGUGUGACGGGGUUGAGGUAGACCUGAGCAAUAUCUUCCUUGAGGGCAUUGCCAUUCUCAACAUUCCCAGCAUGUACGGUGGCACCAAUCUCUGGGGAGAAACCAAGAAGAACCGGGCUGUGAUCCGGGAAAGCAGGAAAGUCAUCACUGACCCCAAAGAACUGAAAUUCUGCGUCCAAGACCUCAGUGACCAGCUCCUUGAAGUGGUGGGGCUAGAGGGAGCCAUGGAGAUGGGGCAGAUCUACACUGGCCUGAAGAGUGCGGGCAGGAGGCUGGCCCAGUGCUCCUCGGUAACCAUCAGGACAAACAAGCUGCUGCCAAUGCAAGUGGAUGGAGAGCCCUGGAUGCAGCCCCCAUGCACGAUUAAAAUUACUCACAAGAAUCAAGCACCUAUGAUGAUGGGGCCUCCCCAGAAGAGCAGCUUCUUUUCGCUGAGGAGGAAGAGCCGUUCAAAAGACUAAAUAAUACGCCAAAUGCCAGUUAAACCAAGAGAGAAAACAAGAGACUGUAACACACACACACACACACACACACACACAUACACACGCGUGCGCACGCAAACACACGCACACUCAUCUCUAACCAGUGGAAGCAAAGCCACCCAUCGGGAAGAAAUCUUCAUCUUGUCGUACAUGCUCUCUACUUCAACAGUGGACACACCCCAACAGAGCCGGUACCGACAGAAAAUUUUGAACAGACUUAGGGCCGACCGGGGUGCGGUUGGCUCGUAUGGCAACCUCCACAUUCCCAGAAGGCCGUGAGUGGGACUUUCUGAGACUGAAGGAGAAAUCCCCCUUUCUUCCCACCAGUCCUGCAAGUUCCCUCACAGACGCUCACAAGAAGCAGGCUGCAGGUUUCCUGCCUAUGUUGAGAUCGGAUGUGGCCAAGGGAAAGAGCUCCCAUUCCAGAGAAUUUACACAAAGGUCCCUCUGUACAGAGACCAACAGCCUCCAGCGCUCAGAGCAUAACCUUGGCAGGGCUCAGCAAGCGCACGUUGGUUGCUUAGUUGUCCUUCAAGCAGCAACUUCUCCCUGAACUUGCUGAGGAGGCAGAAAGGCUGUGGAAAGCUGUGUUUCCAUUCUUGGUUCUCCACGCUGUCAGUGGGCACUUGUUAUUUUCCCAAAGGCUUCUCCUGGUGGCUGUGUGUUUGUUGAGAGACAGCUCCAAGAGCCCCCCGAGCAGCCUGCACGGCACACCUUCGAUGUGGUAUUUAUUUUCUUAGUUCUGUGAACACCUGGGAGGGAAAGCAGAGAAACUGGGAUUUAUUUUUCAAAUUGGUGUCAUAAUAUUGUGUAAAAAGGGAAGAAAAAAAAAACCACCCCCAGUUUCUUUCUUUUUCAAGCCAAAGCGUGUUUCCUGUUUUGAGUUCCAAGCCCUGGUGGCAGACUACUCCUGAAGGCAGAGAAGAUGAGAAGGAAGGGCCUUUUGCUGAGAAGACCAGGAGACAAGCCCAUCAGGUGGCUCCCACCUGCCUCUUUGCACCUACCACUCCCAGAGCAUGACCUGAGGGCCCUUCUGAUGGUCUUAUGUGUGUGUACAUAUAUGUAGCAUAUAUAUUUAUACAUAUAAAUAUUUAUUUACUGAUGGACUUUUCCUGAUUGAAAAAAAAAAACAUGUAGACGAGGAACAGAAAGUAGGAAAGAAAAAGUAGGUUCUUACUCCCCCAUCCCACCAUUUCAUUGUCAAGACACAUUUCCCCAUGGUGAUCAUGAGAUUUAAGGGAAAUGAAAGUAGCUUCUUAUCAUAAAGAGACUAAGAAUUCCUAUUCUGGAUUCUCAAAACAGCCAUGAAAGAUAUGCUGGACAGAAUUAUUCUCUCACUUGCCAGCAAGAGAUAGUCUCAGAAAAGUUAAGAGACUUGUACAUGGUAUCUUAACUAAUGUGGUUUGAGAAUAGGUGCCACUAAGAGGAUGUUUAUUAGAGAGAAGAAUCCACACAUCUUAGAAUAGGGUCAUUUCUGGCCACUGAGAAAUUAUUCCAUUCGAAUCCAGGUUUCCAGGGAAGGAUGAAUACGUAGCACAUGUGUGGAUGUGACAGGCCCACACAAGGAAAUGAGGGCCUCGUGAUGCUUCCCAGAGAUUCUCUCUGGCCUGAACUGGUAAGAAGUUGGUCUGGGUUGAAGGCACUAGACAGAUCAUCAGAUUAAGCUCUCCACCUGUCAACUCGUCAUGGUCGUCAUGGCCUCUUAGUCUGGAAGCACCUGUGGCUGCAGGGAUGACUUCAGUUGGAGACUCAGAAGAAGGACCAAGGCACCUUCUGCAAGGUGUUGCCAGCCAAUACCCAGAGGGGUCCCAGCAGAGCUCAGUGGGCUUCAUGCAGCUGCUGCCAGCAUUACCCAAUUCCUUUUGCGAGGGCAAGUCUGUGUAGAGCUUCAUUAGUAGACAGAAACAUUUGCCUUGGUGCCUUUGCUCCAUCGGACCUCCAUCCCCUCCGAGAUUUCUUAAGAGGACACGUGGGCCCACUCGACAUCACUCCACUGAGCGCUCUCUAAUCUCCUUGCACUGAGUCAGGAGCUUUGCACAAGGAAGGGAAAUUAAGAUUGUGUGUAUACACUGAUCCUAACUCUGAAGGAAGCAAUCAUCUAGGACCAUCCUGCUGGACCCAACAGUGCGAAACAGUGGGUGAGGGGACAGCCAGGCUGCCUGAAGAAUGUCCUGAAUGAUGGGAUCCUUGGUGAUGGGACGGACCAACAAGUUCCAGAAUAACAACAGGGGAUCCUUCUUGAUGUGGGAAAGGCUGUGUAUAUCAAACACACUGCUGUCAGAAGAUGUCUGGGUGCUCUGAUGAAAAGAGGCAGGAGAUCAAACUAAAGAGAAGAGGGUCCUACAGCAAGUUGCUGACCCAGGUUCUAUCACAGCUGCCCUCUUCCAUCGAAUGGGCAGAAGUAACUUUUUGUGCCUCUCUGUACCAUCAUCAUCCACGCUCAGUAGGAAACAAGUAAGACCCUUCUAGCUUGGAAAAGUCUGGCCACUGUUCCAUAGAGCUGCUGUGGAAGGAGCCAUUCCAUGUGCCAAGAUGAUGUGAGGGAUGAAACCCUGCCUGGGAAACAAGAGCAACACGGGGAGUAAGCUACAUGCUGUCUCAGCCACAUGGCCUUGGACAUGUCCUUUAGCCUUCUGGGACUUUUCUUUCUCCGUCUAUCCAACAAGGGGGGCUCUAAAGACUUUCCCUCUUCAACGAUCUUGCCCUUACCUGGAGUAAAUCCUGCGGCCAUGGCGGGGGGGGGGGGUCCUUGUUCUUAGGGGUCUUCCAGCAGGCCCAAGGCUCCCCACCAGCCCUGCUACCCUGGAGGGCUACUCUUCCCCCCUUAAAGAAUCUUCUCUUCCCUCUUCAGGAUUGAUCACGCUCAGAAAUUAGCUGAUAUGGGGGGCCAACAUAAAAAAAAACCGACAAGGAAACUCUUUGGUAAGCCCUCCACCUUUACACACACGCACACACACAUACACAAACACACAUACUCAGUCCCUGACGUGUAAACAUUUUCCAUUCUGUGGAUCAAACCUAUUUUACCCUUUCUCAUUGCCAGUGUGUUAGGAGAGAAUCCAUUCCCACCAGUGGAAAAGCACCACUUCCCUUUAGAGAACUUAGCUAAAGCUCAGCGUUUGGGGUGACCCUGGGCAUAAGCUGAAGCUACACGUCCUAACGCACCUCACCUGCGGCCCAUAAAUGCAGACUCUUGCCAGCCGAGACUGAGGCGGUGACUGGGUAGCACAGCGCCAGGGUCCCGAUCCUUCACUCCUCACUCGUCCACCUCCGCUGCCUCGUCCACCCGUAGAUACGCUACUCCGUCAGGGUGGUCGCCUGCUCGAGCCUGCCUGUCUGCCUGCCGGAGUGCCGUGGACUUGUUCCUGUAAUGUGCCGUGUGUACGUGUGUCCUGACUCUGUGGUUUACUACAAAUAAACCUGACAGCGGACCGCUGACCUCUGACCUCCUGGUGGUUUCUUUCCAAGCCGCCGCUCGAGAAACCGGAGUUGCCUGAUCAGCCACAGGGCGCUGGAGACGAGCAGGCUCCCCGAGGCUGGUCUGUGGCCCUUCACAGGUGCCCCCUGCCACGGCUCUGCUCAGACGCAGGGACUGGGAAGAAGGGAAGCUCUCUGUUGCCACUUUCCUGGUGUUGCAGGAGCGGGAGAGGGAGCCAAAAAUCCUAUUAAA
Molecule: RNA transcript, 6564 nt
Organism: Mirounga angustirostris (Northern elephant seal)
Lineage: Eukaryota; Metazoa; Chordata; Mammalia; Carnivora; Phocidae
Gene: DGKG
Gene name: diacylglycerol kinase gamma
Exons: 28
Source: RefSeq, a predicted model, not a curated record